UGGGGAAUAUUGGACAAUGGGGGCAACCCUGAUCCAGCAAUGCCGCGUGUGUGAAGACGGCUUUCGGGUUGUAAAGCUCUUUCAGCGGGGAAGAUAAUGACGGUACCCGCAGAAGAAGCCCCGGCUAACUUCGUGCCAGCAGCCGCGGUAAUACGAAGGGGGCUAGCGUUGUUCGGAAUUACUGGGCGUAAAGCGCGCGUAGGCGGAUUGUUAAGUCAGGGGUGAAAUCCCGAGGCUCAACCUCGGAACUGCCUCUGAUACUGGCAAUCUCGAGUCCGGAAGAGGUUGGUGGAAUUCCGAGUGUAGAGGUGAAAUUCGUAGAUAUUCGGAGGAACACCAGAGGCGAAGGCGGCCAACUGGUCCGAGACUGACGCUGAGGCGCGAAAGCGUGGGGAGCAAACAGGAUUAGAUACCCCUGUAGUCC
RNAcentral lists this ribosomal RNA (424 nucleotides) under uncultured prokaryote. Its description in RNAcentral is "bacterial SSU rRNA". It matches the Rfam family "Bacterial small subunit ribosomal RNA", at positions 355 to 796 of the family's 1533-position model. The record is from RNAcentral.